UUAAAAUUUUACCCCUCCUUGCAAAUGUACAGACCAGUACUGUACAUGGAAUUUUUGUACAAUAAAAAAUAUAUUGUCACUAUUUAUUUUUUAUUGUACCAAAAAUCCUCCAUGUACAGUACUGGUCUGUACAUUUGCAAGGAGGGGUAAAAUUUUAAC
RNAcentral lists this small RNA (159 nucleotides) under Mytilus galloprovincialis (Mediterranean mussel). Lineage: Eukaryota; Metazoa; Mollusca; Bivalvia; Mytilida; Mytilidae. The record is from RNAcentral.